GGUUUAGAUGCCUCUGGCAGUACUUUUGCCUAGAGGGCAGAGACAGUCCUUGGUGAGAGGGGAGCAGGGAACAGCCCUGAACCCCAGCUGGUGCCCUGCUCCUUCUCACUGCUGCAGCUACUCCAGGUGUCCUGGGAGAGGAGCUGGGCUGGCACACAGGUUGUGUGUGGCCAGUGAUGGUUCCAUUCAGGCAGGAGAGUGGUGUGCAGACCCACAGCAGGGAAGGGCACAUGGAUAUAGGAAAGGAAAUGCACUAGAAGUUGGAUUUGUUAAUAGCUUUCUCUGGCCUGUUAUGAAACACUUCAAAUUUGGAAACAAUUUUCUCAGCACACCUGUUGAGGGGAGAAACAAGGCUCCUUCAACCAUCAAUCUGUGGGACCUCAGAGCUCAGCCUGAAAGCAAAGGCGAAACGAAAUACGAAAAUUGCAGUGCAGCAGAAGAGGAGUCAGCUGUCUGCGGGCCUCUGCUGAAAUCCCAUCUUUCGGCACUAAAACCUGAAACUUGGCUGAACUUGAGAUUCAUGAGAGCUCUCAGCUGCAGUUAUUCUGCUGUGCACUGCUCCUUCUUCUUCCACAGUGGAGGUGUCAAGGUAGGGAUAUAGUCCAUACUUCUUUGUUCCAGUGUUGUACCAGAGCCACAGGUCAGAGUCACUUUGAAUUUGAUCUGACUGAGAACACACAUUGCAUCCUUAUUUUUGUCUGUCCCAGUUCUGUGCUGGGUGCCAGUCACCCUCUGGCCAUGAAUUAACUCUGCACUGUGCUCUGAACAUGGUGGAUACAGGACUCUGGUAUAUGAUGCAGGACUAUCUUCUGUGGUAACUCCUGGCUGUCCUCCUUCCUUGGAUGAGCCCAGAGACCUCACUGGGAGCCGAGUGUAUUGUGGGGAAGCCUUGAGCCUGCUGUGAAUGAAUAGAUUUGGCACUAGGUGAGACAAACUAAUGGGUUUUUUAGUCACAAAGUUGUUUUUGCCUUUAAGUUUCUGCACUUCAAAUACUUCUUAAAAUAUUUAAAUACUGUUCCAUGCAGCUGUCACUGCUCCCUUGGGAGGGAGACAUCCACAUGCUCAUGGCAACAGAGGUUGGUCACUCACCAUCUUCCUGAGACUUAACAGCACCAUCCUGGUGGCAGCACCACCUCUGAUUCUGAGCCUUGAGGCUGUUUGUUGUCUCUGGCAGGCUUAGCAUUCACUUGGUAGCUUUUCCUGUACUGUCACAGUCAGAAAUCAGCAGAGGAGUCAGUUAUGAUAGUAUGCACUUUUUAAGCCUGGUUUGGUUUCUUCUAUAGACUGGACAUGUCUGGGCAGGUGUAAAGGCUGUUCUUUUUCCUCAUGUUGGCUAAUGUGACCUCAAACCUAGUUUGAGCAGGGUUUUUCAAAUGUUCUAAGAUUUUAGGGAAGGGAAAGGUCUUUUCAAGCUGCUUUUCAGGACUUUCAGGGUACUCCUUGGAGUAUUUAAUGCCUUAGCAAUAGCUCACUGCUCUACAAAUAUGACCAGAGCCACCACAAACCAGUUGCUUCUCUGCCACAACUUUGUGACUAAGCUUUCCCACUGUAAUGGUGGUUUUGGUGCUUUUUAAAAUUUUCUAAGUUCUGCUCUCUGUUACAUCUGAUACACCUGUUAUGAUUUUGGAUUUGAAUCAGGUGAGGAGCGUUCAAGUUGGAAUCUGAGUUUUGCCACAAGCUGAUGUGAGAGAGGAAUUCUCUUCAGCCACCUGUGUCUCCCUUAUUCUGGGUGUAAAAGUGGAUUUACAGUCCUUAGCCCUUCCCCAUUUAACUGAAAGCUUUUGGAAGGAUAAUCUUCUUACUCCUUUGGUAGGGUGGCUUGCUUUUUUGAUUGGGUUGUUGGUUUUUUGGUUUUUUUUUUGACUGAUAGCUCCAGUUUUUAAUAUAAUGCCAACAUUAAAUAACGAGAAAUUAGUAAAACAACACUUCUUCCCACCCUGUAUAUGGUACACCAUACCACAGUGCCAAGUACUUUUUGUUGCGAAGAACUAAACAAGCCUCUACACUUCUUCAUGGGGAAUGGCCACAAAGGAGGGAGGGAAGACAAGACAAAUUUUUUUGACAGUCUUUUAUUUUGAAAUUCCAAGCUGAAUGGCUUGCAUGGACUCGCUAGCCAAGGGGAGAAGAGGUGCCAGUGAAGUUUUAACACCACAGUGUUAACACAAUUUUAGUCCUUUCCUUUUCUCUCUAUCCAUUUUUGUCCUGAAAGUCACAUUUAUGAACGUAUUUUGUGGCAUUGCUAUCUGAUGCUUACAUAAUAUCUUUGCAUGCUUGUAUCUAGUAUUGAAUAUUAUUUGCACAUUUUAAUAUUUUCAUAAAAAACAGCUGAGUAGCCCCUCUGUGUUUCAUGCAAGGCGCAUGCCUUGGGUUCAAUGGGGCAUCUCCUCUCCAAGCACUGCCCACACCAACUGGCACUGCUAGAGGCUUGGCUGCCUUUUCCACAGUGCUUUCUCAGGGUGCCUGGUACUCAGACUGCCAGCACAAAAGCUGAUUCAGACCAGCUUGAUGCUCAGGUAUACUGAGAACUGAACCACAAGCAGAUACCAUCAAAACACAUUUCACUUGUGACCUUUCACAGCCAAUGAAUUGGAGGGAUUUUCCUUUGCUGUGGAUCAAAUUUAAAACUACUUCCCAGGAGUGAAAGGUCAUCUCGUGGAGUCAUGAUAUCCAGUUAAAUACAGCUAAAUAGAACUCGUUAGCAUCACAAUGAAUGGAGUUAUAUAUUACCUGCUCUGGAGGAUGACUGGGGUGGGUGGGGUAGAUCCCUCAUCACCCUUAAUAAAGCACCACAAUAGCGAGAAAAGGCACAAAGAGCACAAUUUGACUAAAUCUGCCCUUUAAAUCUGUUUCUUCUGGCCAGCAAUAUGAGUGGUCAGAAAAACAUGGGAAAUGUCACAUAAAGGAUGUAUUCUCCUCUUGCCAUGUUUGCAUUCGCGGGAGCUACAAUUCCAUCCAAGUGAGAAUAUACAAUAUAGCAGCUCCCGGCGGGGCUUUGAUCUGCAGAUACAGCCUGCUCUGAGGAAAAAGGAAAUCCAGUGAUCUUGUGUCUGAAAUUAGAUUCCCACAGAGGGGCAAGCUGCCCCUCUAGACACUAUCUGAUUGGCAGAAGGACUUAAUAUUUAAGUGGAUCCAUGACAUCUUUUAUCCUGCCAAGCCAUCUCCCUUCUGGGGAGUAUUUCUUGCUCUCCAGCCCUUUCCUAAUGAUUGUUAUUUCAGCCUUGCUGUUUCUGGUCAUACUUCAUGAGGACUGAGUGUAAAGCUGCAUGGCUCUUUCCUCAGCAUUGGCAGCAGGUCAGGGAUGUGAAAUGAGUGCAGGAGGCUUUGGGAUCUUUGGUGAAGAGGCUGUCUCAGAUGGGGAGGAUUCACACACAAAAGUUGGUGUUAUCAUCCUGUGAAGUGAAUAGCUCAUAGUCAAUCAUUUACCUUGGUGAUCUGACUUUUUUUUUUCUCUCCCCUACUUGGCAUUCUUGGGUCUUUGUAUUCUGCUUCUCUGUUUUCUGGGGGAGGGAAGGAUAGAUGAGAUCAAAGUGAAGGAUCAGCUUCUUUGUUUAUAUUAAAUAAAGGACUGUGAAUUCUCUCAACCUUUUUUUACAAGUGGCUCCUUUGCCUAUAUGUGUUGCUUUGAUUUUUCUGUACUUAUUCAAGGCUUAAUGUUCAUAACAGCCAAGCGAGUUACUUUCAUUAGGAGUCAAACAGAGCUGGGCAUCUACAGAGGUUCUUAUGCUGCUUAGUUCUUAAGGGAUCAUAGGGAUCUCUGCUCUAGUGUCCAGUAAAACUGAAUGUUGGGACUGGUGAACUCAAAAAACCCACCUCAGGUAGCAAAUCUGAGGACAAGCAGGGAUAUGUAUGCUUCAAGCCAUGAUGGAUGAGCUGUCACUUUGCUGUUGUAGAUGGUGUUGGAUUUCUUCUCUGGCUGGUUAAAGCAGGACCCAAACUGCAGCAGCUGUAAGAGAAAUAAAUGAGCUUUUGCAUGUCUAGUGGCUACAGUGCCCUGCUCCUGAUCUUCCCCCACCACUGCUGCCUCUCAACGUCAGGGCCAGCAGUGUGCUGCAAUUCAAGAACCAAGGAAGAUCAAAACCAAAUUUUUUUCCAAGUCAUCU
Molecule: long non-coding RNA, 4100 nt
Filed under: Ficedula albicollis (Collared flycatcher)
Lineage: Eukaryota; Metazoa; Chordata; Aves; Passeriformes; Muscicapidae
Description: lncRNA (ENSFALG00000023401.1)
Source: RNAcentral